RNAcentral lists this ribosomal RNA (253 nucleotides) under uncultured bacterium. Its description in RNAcentral is "partial 16S ribosomal RNA". It matches the Rfam family "Bacterial small subunit ribosomal RNA", at positions 524 to 776 of the family's 1533-position model. The record is from RNAcentral.
UACGGAGGGUGCAAGCGUUAUCCGGAUUCACUGGGUUUAAAGGGUGCGUAGGUGGCUAUAUAAGUCAGUGGUGAAAGCUCGCGGCUCAACCGUGAAAUUGCCAUUGAAACUGCAUAGCUUGAGUACAGUUGAAGUGGGCGGAAUACAUCAUGUAGCGGUGAAAUGCUUAGAUAUGAUGUAGAACACCGAUUGCGAAGGCAGCUCACUAAGCUGUAACUGACACUGAGGCACGAAAGCGUGGGUAGCGAACAGG